RNAcentral lists this long non-coding RNA (270 nucleotides) under Fukomys damarensis (Damara mole-rat). Its description in RNAcentral is "lncRNA (ENSFDAG00000025269.1)". Lineage: Eukaryota; Metazoa; Chordata; Mammalia; Rodentia; Bathyergidae. The record is from RNAcentral.
AUGAUGGGAAGAAGGCUGUCCUUUAGUGGGAGAAGCCAUAUUUUUAGGAUUUCAGGGAAAUGGCUGAUCACCCCUGAAGACAAAAACUUCCAAAUGGUUUUGUUCACAGAAGGAAGGGCCAAUUUGAAAAUGAAUGAUUACAUUAGGUUUACCCUCUGCAUUCUUCAACAUGUGCUGAAAAAUCCAGUUAGUUUUCCUUCAAGUCCCAAAGGAGAAAUCAUUCUGUUAACUAUGCAUUACUGUGGCAAAAUAUCUGACAUAAACAACUGA